RNAcentral lists this ribosomal RNA (268 nucleotides) under uncultured Sphingomonas sp. Its description in RNAcentral is "partial 16S ribosomal RNA". It matches the Rfam family "Bacterial small subunit ribosomal RNA", at positions 107 to 392 of the family's 1533-position model. The record is from RNAcentral. Lineage: Bacteria; Pseudomonadati; Pseudomonadota; Alphaproteobacteria; Sphingomonadales; Sphingomonadaceae.
UGCGUAACGCGUGGGAAUCUGCCCUUGGGUUCGGAAUAACAGCGAGAAAUCGCUGCUAAUACCGGAUGAUGUCUUCGGACCAAAGAUUUAUCGCCCAGGGAUGAGCCCGCGUAGGAUUAGCUAGUUGGUGGGGUAAAGGCCUACCAAGGCGACGAUCCUUAGCUGGUCUGAGAGGAUGAUCAGCCACACUGGGACUGAGACACGGCCCAGACUCCUACGGGAGGCAGCAGUGGGGAAUAUGGACAAUGGGCGCAAGCCUGAUCCAGCA